This 323-nucleotide ribosomal RNA is filed under the name uncultured eukaryote. Its description in RNAcentral is "partial 18S ribosomal RNA". It matches the Rfam family "Eukaryotic small subunit ribosomal RNA", at positions 1470 to 1796 of the family's 1831-position model. The record is from RNAcentral.
CCCUUAGAUGUUCUGGGCCGCACGCGCGCUACACUGACGGAUUCAACGAGCUUACAACCUUGGCCGAAAGGUCUGGGUAAUCUCCAAAAUCCGUCGUGAUGGGGAUAGAUUAUUGCAAUUAUUAAUCUUCAACGAGGAAUGCCUAGUAAGCGCAAGUCAUCAGCUUGCGUUGAUUACGUCCCUGCCCUUUGUACACACCGCCCGUCGCUCCUACCGAUCGAAGAGUUAGGUGAAUUGUUUUGAUCGAUAAGAUUUGACUAUGGUCAACUCUCGUUGUGAAAUUCUGUGAAUCUGACUGUUUAGAGGAAGGAAAAGUCGUAACA